Long non-coding RNA from Oncorhynchus tshawytscha (Chinook salmon), 1229 nucleotides. Lineage: Eukaryota; Metazoa; Chordata; Actinopteri; Salmoniformes; Salmonidae. The record is from Ensembl.
CUGAAAAGGGGCCAUUUCUUUUUUUUUUUUGCUGAUUUUAUGUAAUGCAUGCCUGUCACAGUUGAUGGCCCUUGAUAAUGUCCUGAUUUGAAUAUCUGGGGAAUAAUCCAAUUUUCCCAAGCACACGAAUCUCUCACCUGAACCGCCACCACCAUUCUGUCUGGUCCAGUUUUCCGCCAGUGCACCAGCAGCAUGGGAGAAGUUUUGACGUGAUCUCUCACCAUGCUCACUCCAAAUGCACGGUGUCAGGACUCAUGCAACACUCCUGCUGCUCGUACACAGGUUGCUGGCUCGGACUCAGGCCUCAGUAGAAGUGGUGCAGGACAGGGCUGUAGUGAACACCAUUACUUCAGUUGGUUAGGGGGGGUGAAGCUCACACUAUUCAUGUCAUAUUAUUCUUUCCAUGCAUAUAUAUAUAUAUAUAUAUAUAUCAUUGGUAGUCACUAUCGCCAUAACUUAGAAAGGACAGACCAAAACAACAGUUUAAGGCAUUUCUGACUCAGAAAAUCCAAACAAAUAUUUACCGUAUGACAAAAUAUUAUUUUCCCAAUUUUAUUUUUACAAAAUUCCUCAGACAAAUGUCAAAGAGCAUACCAACACACUGUUGACACCAUUUCCAAAUUGGCUUAUACUCCCUUAUCAUACUGGUGACCACAACUCAGAGUUAUGGGGUCAGGUAGAUGGAGGGCUAACCCUUAGGGAGAAACCCGACCAUACAGCAGACCCAAUCUAGUUAAAUUUGUAUUGAAACAAAAACAAAUACAAAGCAAUGAAAACCAACAAUUAUUAUCCACAUGAGUGACAUAUGGUAUCAAGGGCCAUUGCUUACUGAACUGUUAGUUGUUGAAGAACAAGUUGUUGAUGAACAAUUUGAGAUGUUACAAUGUACAACUUCUCACCAGUGAUACAGAUCAUUGUGUCUAUCACAAAGAUACAUCUACCUUAUCAGUUUGUGGUUUCCAUCAAGGUGCCCUAACGAGUUUGGUCCAGCAACACAGUAUGACCUUCUAUGCAGCCUCUGCGACAUGGCUCUGAGGGCAGCCGCCCUCGGGUUAACACGAAGCAUGCUGUCCCUCACUCUGCGUCUCUGCACCCAGAGCCCUUAAUUGUGAUUGAACAGCCUCCGGUCCACGUUUGUCGUUCCCAGCCACCAAGUCCUUAAUCUUUUCAUUCAGAGCCAAGUCUGACAUGUCAGAAUAUAACGGUGCAUGUGACAGAUUGAAGUGUCU